Molecule: long non-coding RNA, 854 nt
Organism: Leopardus geoffroyi (Geoffroy's cat)
Lineage: Eukaryota; Metazoa; Chordata; Mammalia; Carnivora; Felidae
Exons: 3
Source: RefSeq, a predicted model, not a curated record
AGGCUUCGUUCAGCAUUUUGGCAUCCUGAUCCACAUCAAAACCUUGAUGACUUCUUGCUUUGGCCUGGAGAAAAUAAUUGAAAAGAGACAAGAAACCCCUAAAGCCAACAUUGUGUGUGAUUGUGUCUCAAACGCAGCCAACUUUGAGUGGGAGGCUUGUUUUUAAAGGAAGAAGGUAACGAUUCUUCUGAAAACAACCCACACAAGAGAAGAGUCAUCUAGCUAAAUCUGAGCAGAUUUUCCUGUGGAUCUUACUUUUCUGUCUAUGCACAAAGCUCACUGAGCACAAGGUCAUGUCCUCUAGGCUAAGCAAACUCUUUGAAUAUUGCUUGAUUAGCAAAUGAUAGUAAUCGCGAUUAUUACUGCUCCAAAUAGGUUAGUCACAAACACGAUGUCUUCAGUUGAAAAGAAUCAUUAAUGAUUGCAAAGGGAUUGGGGGAAAGCGCAAAACAAAAAAGUAAAUUUUCAAUCCUCAGAAUUGGCUAGGAAGCCCUCUGUAUCACAGCACCUUGGAAAAUGUAAUUUCCUGGCCAAUAUCCUACUGGCUUUGGAGUAUUGUUUGUCAAGCAUCUGUCUGGGCAUCCUGGUCUGUGGACAUAUCCUUGGGACUUUGUAACUUUCCUAGUAGGCUUUUAAAAUAUGUAUUUACUGCUGGUAAUAACUUAAAAACUAAAUAUAAAGCAUAUUGAGUCAUUAGGAUGACCAAGGCUAGCACAUGAUUUCAACGCCUGCAUUUGUGUUUCUAUUUAUGAAUGUGUAUAUGCCGAAUAGCCAUAUUUUAAUUGUUGCAAGCAAAUGAUAAAAGAACAGAGAACAGAGGGAGGUUUAAUACAAAAAUCACACAUUUUAGCCAA